This 787-nucleotide long non-coding RNA is filed under the name Homo sapiens (human). RNAcentral describes it as "non-protein coding lnc-AUTS2-5:1". The record is from RNAcentral. Lineage: Eukaryota; Metazoa; Chordata; Mammalia; Primates; Hominidae.
AUGACGAAAGCAAAGGGAAAGAGGAGAAGCACCCGAUAUAUGUUCUCUAGGUUUUUUAGAAAACAGGAGUUGUUCCUUUGGCCACGUAUAUGCUAAUCUGCAAGAAAGGUGAUAUUGUAGACAUCAAGGGAAUGGGUACUGUUCAAAAAAGAAGCCCCGCAAGUGUUAUCAUGGCGAAACUGGAAGAGUCUACAGCGUUCCCCAGCAUGCUGCUGGCAUUGUUGUAAACAAACAAGUUAAGGCCAAGAUUCUUGCCAAGAGAAUUAAUGUGUGUAUUGAGCACCUUGAGCACUCUAUGAGCCGAGAUAGCUUCCUGAAAGGCGUGAAGGAAAAUGAUCAGAAAAAGAAAAAAGUCGGCUGGGCUCGGUGGCUCAUGCCUGUAAUCCCAGCACUCUGGGAGGCCGAGGCGGGCGGAUCACUUGAGGUCGGGAGUUUGAGAUCAGCCCUACCACCAUGGAGAAGCACUGUCUCUACUAAAAAUACAAAAAAAUUAGCCGUGCAUGGUGGUGCGUGCCUGCAAUCCCAGCUACUCGGGAGGCUGAGGCAGGAGAAUCACUUGAACCUGGGAGGCAGAGAUUGCGGUGAACCGAGAUGGUGCCAUUGCACUCUAGCCUGGGCUACAGAGUGAGACUCCGUCUCAAAAAAGAAAAAAGAAAGAAGCCAAAGAGAAACGGACCUGGGUUCAAAUGAAGCUCCAGCCUGCUCCACCCAGAGAAGCUCACUUUGUGAGAACCAUGGGAAGAAGCCUGAACUGCUGCAACCUAUUCCCUAUGAAUUCAUGGCGUAU